Molecule: ribosomal RNA, 253 nt
Filed under: uncultured bacterium
Lineage: Bacteria
Description: partial 16S ribosomal RNA
Rfam family: Bacterial small subunit ribosomal RNA
Source: RNAcentral
UACGAAGGGGGCUAGCGUUGUUCGGAAUUACUGGGCGUAAAGCGCACGUAGGCGGGUAUUUAAGUCAGGGGUGAAAUCCCGGAGCUCAACUCCGGAACUGCCUUUGAUACUGGGUACCUAGAGUAUGGAAGAGGUAAGUGGAAUUCCGAGUGUAGAGGUGAAAUUCGUAGAUAUUCGGAGGAACACCAGUGGCGAAGGCGGCUUACUGGUCCGGUACUGACGCUGAGGUGCGAAAGCGUGGGGAGCAAACAGG